This is a long non-coding RNA of Bos taurus (domestic cattle), 1012 nucleotides long. The record is from Ensembl. NCBI's taxonomy places the organism in Eukaryota, Metazoa, Chordata, Mammalia, Artiodactyla, Bovidae.
GCGGAGGGGAUGGGCCCAGGAGGAGGUAUUCGGCGGGAGCCGGCGCCGGGCGAUCGCUUCCAGCCCCCUGAGCCCUCUCCCUCAAGGGAAGGGCACACUCACUGACCCUCCGGAGCCUCCAAAACAGAAGUCACUGAAACCUGCAUCUUCCUUCUCUGCCCCCCUCGCCCUCUCCCUCCUGCAGUUGAAGACAUAUAAAUAUGUUCCAUCACUGUGUACAUUGGAAAUUCUAAACCUGACUGACAUCUGGAAUGCAACUGAAUCAGCAUGACCUGACAGAGCUACCCAAGCUUUACAAGGAUUUUGAAUAAAAUCAGCUCUGAUUCCCCUCUGCUGAAAAUCAUCUGUUUUUCAACCAAACUCACAUAUUAAAUAUGAUUUUUAUGACCUCUAUUAUAUUAUACCUUGCCUUGAGACUAGGCAUGCAACUUAUCUGCAUCUAUUUUUUCUUAUGCUAGAUUGUAACCUACUUGUAGUUUGAGCCUAUUUAAAUGAAUCUUUUAUCUGCAUAUACUAUGACCGCUGACACUUAAAAGUGAAAGUGAAAGUUGCUCAGUCUGGAAUUCUCCAGACCAGAAUACUGGAGUGGGUAGCCUUUCCCUUCUCUAGGGGAAUCUUCCCAAUCCGGGGAUCGAACCCAGGUCUCUUGCAUUGCAGGCGGAUUCUUUACCAGCUGAGCCACAGUAGGAGUUCAAUAAAUGUGUACUAAAUAAGUAAAUGGGCUUCCCUGGUGGCUCAGCUGUAAAGAAUCCACCUUCGAUGCAGAAGACACAUAUUUGAUCCCUGGGUCAGGAAGAUCUCCUGGAGAAGGAAAUGGCAACCCACUCCAGUAUUCUUGCCUGGGAAAUCCCAUGGGCAGAGGAGCCUGGCAGGCUAUAGUCCAUGGGGUUGCAAAAGAGUCAGAUACAACUUAGCGACUAAACAACAACAAAUUAGUAAAUAUUAACAGAAACUUUGGGUCAAAAAAAUGACCAUUUACUUGUUAAAAGUUAUUGAUAGGGAGACUUCCCUG